RNAcentral lists this ribosomal RNA (292 nucleotides) under uncultured bacterium. RNAcentral describes it as "partial 16S ribosomal RNA". It matches the Rfam family "Archaeal small subunit ribosomal RNA", at positions 455 to 747 of the family's 1478-position model. The record is from RNAcentral.
GUGCCAGCAGCCGUGGUAAUACCGGCAGCUCGAGUGAUGUCCAAUAUUAUUGGGCCUAAAGCGUCCGUAGCUGGCCGCGCAAGUCCAUCGGAAAAUCCACCCGCCCAACGGGUGGACGUCCGGUGGAAACUGUGUGGCUUGGGACCGGAAGGCGCGACGGGUACGUCCGGGGUAGGAGUGAAAUCCCGUAAUCCUGGACGGACCGCCGAUGGCGAAAGCACGUCGCGAAGACGGAUCCGACAGUGAGGGACGAAAGCUAGGGUCUCGAACCGGAUUAGAUACCCCGUAGUCC